CCAAGUUUCAGCCCUUAUUCUAUUGCAACCUAAGGUUAAAUUUGCAAAGGUACUUUUGCCUCACCUGUGAAGGAGACUGGAACACAAUAUUUCUAACAUCCCUACCAGCUUGCACAGAGUGUAUUUCUGAGGGUCUAUGCAUUUCAUUCUGAACUGCUUGAAGACCUGGAAAGAGAGUAUUUUUUCUGACCUGCUUCAUGACCUUAAGUCAAAACACUUAUCACACACAAGAUUCUAUGAUUAGUCAUUUUCACAGUAACACCAAUAUUAAUAUUUUAAGCAGGUACCAUGGUAAUUAGUUAAAAAUAUAUUAUCUCUAAUGUUGCCGAUCCUGAAAAAUACAGAGCUUUUGUCCUUUUAAUAAUGGGCAAAUCUGAUUUCAUUUCCUCCUUCAAAUCUCCUUCAUUAUAUAUAAAAAAAAAGAAAAAUAAUUUGGGUUCCCCUUCUCAACUUGACCCAGGGUCUCCCUGUUCAGGCUCUCAGGUUGUGCACUAGACAAUUAAAGAGGCCUCCAUUCACCAAGAAGACAAUGGGAUGCUGCCUUUUGGAAUUAUGCGGAGUGAUGGCCUUGACUCUCACACCUUCCUGUCCAAUUACAAUGCUCUAAUCUCUUGUCUUUCCUGAAACAAGUCGUGCAUUUUCCUGCCUUGAUAUCUUUGUCCACAAGGUUCCCACUGCCUGAAAUACCUCUGCUAUGACAUUAAAAUGAUUGUUUUCGUCUAUUUCCCCCAACACAGUGAAAUCCUCAAAGGCAGGGACUCUGCAUCGUGCCCCCUAGCACAGCCAGAAUAAACAGAAUCUGGAUGCUAAAGAUCUACGUGCAGCGGAGCUUUAAAGAGACCCAUUUAUCACACACUGUAAAAGCAAAUGGGGAGUGGAGGAGUGAAAGUCUCAAAUGCAAGACCUCAGCAGCUACCCAGCAAGAAAGUUCGCUACCUAAGAGCUUGCUUUUGCAACUCCCAGGAUUCUGAUAUUCCCGUGGCAUAAGGAGCUGCCAAGAAAGCAAGUGGAAAUUAAGAAGACAAAAACAAACUCCAGAAAACUCUACGCUCAGAUCCCUGCAAAUGUCUUCUGCCAGCUCCCUUAGGUGUACGCGAGUACCGGUGGCUUUGUUGUGAAAUGGUCCCAUUUUUCUCCUGUGAGUUCCAGAGAAGAGAGCCUGCACUGACCCAGGGGAUAGAAUAUCGUUCCCAGGAAGAACAUUUAAAGGGAUUAAGGUUGCUCUGAGAGUAUUUAAAUUUUAUCUUUUCUAUGAAAAUUUCUCUGACUACCUGAGGAUGCUGUUCCAGUUCUCUGAAUCUUUAGGAUGUAUUGCACAUUCUGAUUUUUAGCUUAUAUUCCUAAGUAGCAUUUUAUGGUUGCUGUUUUUUAACCUUAUCUUUCCCCAAGAAAGGAUCGGCUUUGCUCAGGGGUGGUGGCUCCCAGUUCUUGGUGCUACAGAGUGAGUGCCCAGAGCACUGGACGCAGGGCAGGCAGGGCCGUCGUAAAUACAUGUUCACUUGACUUAAGGGAAAUGAUCUAAUUAUUGUCCUCAAGCCAACACUUUUUUUUUUUUUACAGUUCUCAUUCUAUUUUUUUUUAUUUUGGCAUAUUAUGGGGGUACAGAUUUUAAGGUUUCAAUAAAUGCCCUUUUCCCCUCCUUCCCCCACAAGUCUGAGUCUCCAGCAUGACCAUCCUCCAGACCGUGCACAUCUCACUCAUUAUGUAUGUAUAUACCCGCCCCCCUCCCACCUGCCCAAUACCCUAUUACUAUAGUACCUAUGUGUCCACUUAGGUGCUGCUCAGUUAAUACCAGUUUUCUGGUGAGUAUAUGUGGUGCUUGUUUUUCCAUUCUUGGGAUACUUCACUUAGUAGUAUGAGUUCCAGCUCUAACCAGGAAAAUAUAAGAUGUGCUAUAUCACCGUUGUUUCUUAGAGCUGAAUAGUACUCCAUGGUAUACAUAUACCACAUUUUAUUAAUCCAUUCUUGGAUUGAUGGGCACUUGGGCUGUUUCCACAGCCUUGCAAUUAUGAAUUGUGCUGCUAUAAACAUUCGAGUGCAGGUGUCUUUUUGUAGAA
Microcebus murinus (gray mouse lemur) is the source of this 2057-nucleotide long non-coding RNA. The record is from Ensembl. Lineage: Eukaryota; Metazoa; Chordata; Mammalia; Primates; Cheirogaleidae.